UCUCUGGUGGCUUAGAUGGUAAAGCGUCUGCCUACAAUGCUGGAGACCCAGGUUCGAUCCCUGGGUUGGGAA
Molecule: transfer RNA, 72 nt
Filed under: Ovis aries (sheep)
Lineage: Eukaryota; Metazoa; Chordata; Mammalia; Artiodactyla; Bovidae
Rfam family: tRNA
About the family: Transfer RNA (tRNA) molecules are approximately 80 nucleotides in length. Their secondary structure includes four short double-helical elements and three loops (D, anti-codon, and T loops).
Source: Rfam by way of RNAcentral